CCUACGGGAGGCAGCAGUGAGGAAUUUUGCGCAAUGGGGGAAACCCUGACGCAGCAACGCCGCGUGAGUGAAGAAGGCCUUCGGGUCGUAAAGCUCUGUCAAGAGGGAAGAAGGAGGGAUGCAGUAACACUGCAUUUUUUUGACGGUACCUCUGAAGGAAGCACCGGCUAACUCCGUGCCAGCAGCCGCGGUAAU
RNAcentral lists this ribosomal RNA (195 nucleotides) under uncultured Desulfatirhabdium sp. Its description in RNAcentral is "partial 16S ribosomal RNA". It matches the Rfam family "Bacterial small subunit ribosomal RNA", at positions 338 to 524 of the family's 1533-position model. The record is from RNAcentral. Lineage: Bacteria; Pseudomonadati; Thermodesulfobacteriota; Desulfobacteria; Desulfobacterales; Desulfatirhabdiaceae.